Molecule: long non-coding RNA, 664 nt
Organism: Gavialis gangeticus (Gharial)
Lineage: Eukaryota; Metazoa; Chordata; Crocodylia; Gavialidae
Exons: 3
Source: RefSeq, a predicted model, not a curated record
CCCCUUCCUCAUUGCCCCGGACCCGGGGGACGCGGGUGCCAACAUGGUGGCUCUGCUGCCUCCCCGCGGUCGAGGAUGCUGCGGUAACGUCCCCCUCAGGCCAGAGCGUGUCUCAGCUGCGCGGGGCCCUGUCAAGUGCGACCGGAACUCACCCCGCGCACAGGACCAGAAGACUCAACCCUGAGGUCGAAAGAUCCCGUCACAAGACGUGUCUGGAGUAUUAGUCGUGCUGGUGUUCAUGCACAGCUGCUGGGACCUGUCCCCAACCCACACCAGCUACUCUUCUGGAAAGCAAGACACCAGAAUGAAGGAGAUAUCUAUCCAUUCUUCCUUCUUGUCCUAAAGUAUGAUGCAUUAUUGAAUGCUUGCCUUGCUUCACUUCAGGGCAAGAAUUCAGCCCCUUUAUGUGAAGAAUGCAUCACAAAUUCAAUGAAUGAAGACCUGAAUUUUCCUGAGGAUUUGAGGUAAACUUGAGUUUAUUCACAAAAAUUAAUAACUGUGAUUGUUUCUGGUAAGUCUAAUUCUCCCCUGCCUCCCAUAUUUCUCAAGCUAUUACUAUAUAUUUUUUGCACACAACACUCACCCAUUUCUAAAAAUCAGCUCUUGAAAACUAAUGUGUACUUUAAGAGAAGUAAUAUGGUAAUAGUAUUUGUAUUUCCUGUAA